GAUUAGAGUUAUGUUGAAUAGAUUCAGUUACUAGGCAGAUGUUGCUCCUAUGUUCUGAUUGGUAGUUCUAGAUGCUGUUAAUGAAUACACACAAAAAUGAUUAUUAAUAAGUAGUGUUGUAGUACAGUGGGAGCCCAUGUUAGUGUAAUAAAAGGUCUUCCUGAAGGUACAAUGAUCCAGCACCUUGCGCUGCCUGGCUCAGCACAGUUGGUAAUCACUGACUUAUCAUUCUCUUGCUCUCUAAAUGGAGUCUGACUCAUACCGAAGACGUAACUCAUCAGUGUCUCCUUCACGCAGGAGCUCCGGUCAGGGGAUUUGGCUGACAGAGAGAAGUGAUGUGGGGGAAAGGAGCCAAAACACACUUCCUUAAGUCAAUGUUUCACAAACUCUUGGUUCAUGGGAG
Molecule: long non-coding RNA, 403 nt
Filed under: Fukomys damarensis (Damara mole-rat)
Lineage: Eukaryota; Metazoa; Chordata; Mammalia; Rodentia; Bathyergidae
Description: lncRNA (ENSFDAG00000022391.1)
Source: RNAcentral